UACAGAGGUCUCAAGCGUUGUUCGGAUUCAUUGGGCGUAAAGGGUGCGUAGGCGGCGCGGUAAGUCGGGUGUGAAAUCUUGGAGCUUAACUCCGAAACUGCAUUCGAUACUGCCGUGCUUGAGGACUGGAGAGGAGACUGGAAUUUACGGUGUAGCAGUGAAAUGCGUAGAUAUCGUAAGGAGGACCAGUGGCGAAGGCGGGUCUCUGGACAGUUCCUGACGCUGAGACACGAAGGCCAGGGGAGCAAACGGG
RNAcentral lists this ribosomal RNA (253 nucleotides) under uncultured bacterium. Its description in RNAcentral is "partial 16S ribosomal RNA". It matches the Rfam family "Bacterial small subunit ribosomal RNA", at positions 524 to 776 of the family's 1533-position model. The record is from RNAcentral.